Molecule: ribosomal RNA, 499 nt
Filed under: Acanthaxius clevai
Lineage: Eukaryota; Metazoa; Arthropoda; Malacostraca; Decapoda; Axiidae
Description: partial large subunit ribosomal RNA
Rfam family: Bacterial large subunit ribosomal RNA
Source: RNAcentral
GUCUGUUUGUAAAUAAAAUCAGUCUGGCCUGCCCACUGAUUAUUUAAAGGGCCGCGGUAUUCUGACCGUGCGAAGGUAGCAUAAUAAUUAGUUUCUUAAUUGGAAACUGGAAUGAAAGGUCGGACAAAAAGAAAUCUGUUUUAAUUGUAAAUAUAGAAUUUAACUUUUAAGUGAAAAGGCUUAAAUAAAGUUUAAAGACGAUAAGACCCUAUAAAACUUAACAUAAAUAUUAUUUAAUUUUAUUCAUUCGUUAAACAAAGUUAAAUAUUAUUUAUGUUUCAUUGGGGUGAUGAUAGCAUAGGAGUAACUGCUUAAAAUUUUUAACAAAUAAUGUUUGAAUUGAAAAUCCUUAACCAUUAAGAAUAAAGAAAAAGUUACUUUAGGGAUAACAGCGUUAUUUUUUUUAAGAGUCCUUAUCGACAAAAAAGUUUGCGACCUCGAUGUUGAAUUAAAAUUAUUUUAUAAUGCAGCAGUUAUAAGAAUAGGUCUGUUCGACCUU